CCUACGUGAGGCAGCAGUGAGGAAUAUUGGUCAAUGGACGAGAGUCUGAACCAGCCAAGUAGCGUGAAGGAUGACUGCCCUAUGGGUUGUAAACUUCUUUUAUACAGGAAUAAAACCAGGCACGUGUGCCUUUUUGCAUGUACUUUAUGAAUAAGGAUCGGCUAACUCCGUGCCAGCAGCCGCGGUAAUACGGAGGAUCCGAGCGUUAUCCGGAUUUAUUGGGUUUAAAGGGAGCGUAGGUGGGUGGUUAAGUCAGUUGUGAAAGCUUGCGGCUCAACCUUAAAAUUGCAUUUGAUACUGGCAGUCUAGAGAAUAGUUGCGGUAGGCGGAAUGCGUGGUGUAGCGGUGAAAUGCUUAGAUAUCAUAAAGAACACCGAUUGCGAAGGCAGCUUACCAAGCUACGACUGACGUUGAGGCACGAAAGUGUGGGGAGCAAACAGGAUUAGAUACCCUGGUAGUC
RNAcentral lists this ribosomal RNA (460 nucleotides) under uncultured bacterium. Its description in RNAcentral is "partial 16S ribosomal RNA". It matches the Rfam family "Bacterial small subunit ribosomal RNA", at positions 338 to 795 of the family's 1533-position model. The record is from RNAcentral.